UGAAUGAAAACAUUUGUACCGUAGACAGCAGGUGCCGAUAAGCUUAAUUUCCUGCCGAGGUCAUUGCGAUAUAUUUUUUCAAUCUGUCCGAAAUGAUUGAACGCAUUGAAACCUCCAGUCUGCCGCUUGGAGGUUUUUUUAUGGUAUA
Molecule: non-coding RNA, 148 nt
Organism: Bacillus sp. VT-16-64
Lineage: Bacteria; Bacillati; Bacillota; Bacilli; Caryophanales; Bacillaceae
Source: Rfam